GGAAUUUUCCGCAAUGGGCGAAAGCCUGACGGAGCAACGCCGCGUGAGGGAUGAAGGCCUCUGGGCUGUAAACCUCUUUUAUCAAGGAAGAAGAUCUGACGGUACUUGAUGAAUAAGCCACGGCUAAUUCCGUGCCAGCAGCCGCGGUAAUACGGGAGUGGCAAGCGUUAUCCGGAAUUAUUGGGCGUAAAGCGUCCGCAGGCGGCCUUGUAAGUCUGUUGUUAAAGUGUGGAGCUUAACUCCAUUUAAGCAAUGGAAACUGCAAGGCUUGAGUGUGGUAGGGGCAGAGGGAAUUCCCGGUGUAGCGGUGAAAUGCGUAGAUAUCGGGAAGAACACCAGUGGCGAAGGCGCUCUGCUGGGCCAUAACUGACGCUCAUGGACGAAAGCCAGGGGAGCGAAAGGGAUUAGAUACCCCAGUAGUC
RNAcentral lists this ribosomal RNA (422 nucleotides) under uncultured cyanobacterium. Its description in RNAcentral is "bacterial SSU rRNA". It matches the Rfam family "Bacterial small subunit ribosomal RNA", at positions 358 to 795 of the family's 1533-position model. Lineage: Bacteria; Bacillati; Cyanobacteriota. The record is from RNAcentral.